GCGAAAGUGGCGGAAUUGGUAGACGCGCUGGAUUUAGGUUCCAGUACCGCAAGGUGUGAGAGUUCGAGUCUCUCCUUUCGCACCA
RNAcentral lists this transfer RNA (85 nucleotides) under Pseudomonadales bacterium. Its description in RNAcentral is "tRNA-Leu". It matches the Rfam family "tRNA". Rfam says of the family: Transfer RNA (tRNA) molecules are approximately 80 nucleotides in length. Their secondary structure includes four short double-helical elements and three loops (D, anti-codon, and T loops). Further hydrogen bonds mediate the characteristic L-shaped molecular structure. tRNAs have two regions of fundamental functional importance: the anti-codon, which is responsible for specific mRNA codon recognition, and the 3' end, to which the tRNAs corresponding amino acid is attached (by aminoacyl-tRNA synthetases). tRNAs cope with the degeneracy of the genetic code in two manners: having more than one tRNA (with a specific anti-codon) for a particular amino acid; and 'wobble' base-pairing, i.e. permitting non-standard base-pairing at the 3rd anti-codon position. RNAcentral also lists the same sequence under 7 other names. Lineage: Bacteria; Pseudomonadati; Pseudomonadota; Gammaproteobacteria; Pseudomonadales. The record is from RNAcentral.